UAGGUGACCAUGGUUUCUGAGUCCACAUUUGCAUGAUUUGUUUGACUUCGAGGUUCCUUCAUCCGCUGCCUACGAGCUCUACUGUAGGAGUUCUUGGGCGACGAUCCUGGUCUUCAUCACACUCGUAUACCACCUUCUCACCGUCAUCAUCUUCUCUCGCCCUGCGUUAACCGCCACUCCGACGCAGGGACUCCGCUGGUGAGUUGAAAUUAGAAUUAAUUGCUUAAGGAGUUUAAGGAGGGUUGGAAGGCAGCUGAGAAACUAGUUAUGCACUGGAAGAUACUCAGAGGAGACAAUGUAUAUAAUCAGGGGCGAGGAUAAAGGUGAGAAAGGUCUUAUAAAGUGUGUUAUCCACUCUCAAAAUCGCAUUAUUGUUGAUGGGAAGAAUCUGGUGAGUUACACUUACACUACUUCUAAGCGUUGCUUUCUAUUUACAUCACAUUUUAUGCAAUAAUUUUGUAUCGGCAUUCUAUGUUGUUCUGUGCCAUGAGUGAAUUAUAGGAAAUGCCUACCUAUUCUGAUGAAAUAGAUACAGUAGUAGGUGGUUGUUGGAAAUUGGAACUCCCUAUGGCACAGUUGCAUUUACAAGUCAAUAAGAACAAAAAAUGCCUGUACUUCUGGUUCUGCAAAAUCUUCUCAAAUGUUGCAUAUCCAAACGUUCUUUAGAUGCUUCACUUACCGUAAGAGAAAAAAAAAAAACAGAACAGCUAGAAGAGUAUGAAACCCAUUGGUAAUAUCACUUGAGA
This is a long non-coding RNA of Tripterygium wilfordii, 746 nucleotides long. RefSeq lists it as uncharacterized. Lineage: Eukaryota; Viridiplantae; Streptophyta; Magnoliopsida; Celastrales; Celastraceae. The transcript is spliced from 3 exons. The record is from RefSeq and is a predicted model, not a curated record.